Gymnodraco acuticeps is the source of this 517-nucleotide long non-coding RNA. RefSeq lists it as uncharacterized. NCBI's taxonomy places the organism in Eukaryota, Metazoa, Chordata, Actinopteri, Perciformes, Bathydraconidae. The transcript has 3 exons. The record is from RefSeq and is a predicted model, not a curated record.
GUCUGCAGCGACCACUUCAUCAGAGGGUGCCCUAGCGCUUUGGGUGACGUUGAGUCGGUAGACUGGGCUCCCACUGUUAGCCUCGGUUACCACACAACAAGUAAGCCCAGAUCAGAGGCAUCUCUUCGACGAGAGCAGAGGAUGGAGCUCAAGGAAGACCAACAAAGACAAUCAGAAUGUGCAGAGGCUUUGUUGGAUCUCCUGCAGACAACCGAGAGCCCAGAACCGACGCAGCCCCCGUCUGACAGCCCACAACCAGAGGACACCAGUGGGAUAUGAAAUGACCAACAAGAUGCAGGAUGCCAGACUGAUUUAACGAUGGAGGACAUCGAGAGGAUGGAGGAUGUUCUGAGACAGAACACAACAGAGCUGGGAGAUCUUCGGACAAAGGCACUGGACACAAAGUUCAACCAGGAGUCCUUUGAGAACAACGAAGAGAAGACAAAGUUUUACACCGGGCUCCCCAACUUCUUAGUUUUACUUCAGGUUUUUCAACUGUGCGAGCCCUACAUCACCU